GAUGAACGCUGGCGGCGUGCCUAAUACAUGCAAGUCGAGCGGACAGAUGAGUAGCUUGCUCCUCUGACGUUAGCGGCGGACGGGUGAGUAACACGUGGAUAACCUACCUAUAAGACUGGGAUAACUUCGGGAAACCGGAGCUAAUACCGGAUAAUAUAUUGAACCGCAUGGUUCCAUAGUGAAAGACGGUUUUGCUGUCACUUAUAGAUGGAUCCGCGCCGCAUUAGCUAGUUGGUAAGGUAACGGCUUACCAAGGCAACGAUGCGUAGCCGACCUGAGAGGGUGAUCGGCCACACUGGAACUGAGACACGGUCCAGACUCCUACGGGAGGCAGCAGUAGGGAAUCUUCCGCAAUGGGCGAAAGCCUGACGGAGCAACGCCGCGUGAGUGAUGAAGGUCUUCGGAUCGUAAAACUCUGUUAUUAGGGAAGAACAAAUGUGUAAGUAACUAUGCACGUCUUGACGGUACCUAAUCAGAAAGCCACGGCUAACUACGUG
Molecule: ribosomal RNA, 497 nt
Filed under: uncultured bacterium
Lineage: Bacteria
Description: partial 16S ribosomal RNA
Rfam family: Bacterial small subunit ribosomal RNA
Source: RNAcentral